Molecule: ribosomal RNA, 254 nt
Filed under: uncultured bacterium
Lineage: Bacteria
Description: partial 16S ribosomal RNA
Rfam family: Bacterial small subunit ribosomal RNA
Source: RNAcentral
UACAGAGGUCCCAAGCGUUGUUCGGAUUCACUGGGCGUAAAGGGUGCGCAGGUGGGUUGGCAAGUUUGAUGUGAAAGCCCCGGGCUUAACCCGGGAAUGGCAUUGAAUACUGCUGAUCUGGAGGAUCGGAGGGGGGGACUGGAAUUCUUGGUGUAGCAGUGAAAUGCGUAGAUAUCAAGAGGAACACCAGUGGCGAAGGCGAGUCCCUGGACGAUACCUGACACUGAGGCACGAAAGCCAAGGGAGCAAACAGG